AGAGUUUGAUCCUGGCUCAGGAUGAACGCUAGCUACAGGCUUAACACAUGCAAGUCGAGGGGAAACGAUAUUGGAAGCUUGCUUCCGAUAGGCGUCGACCGGCGCACGGGUGAGUAACGCGUAUCCAACCUGCCCACCACUUGGGGAUAACCUUGCGAAAGUAAGACUAAUACCCAAUGACGUCUCUAGAAGACAUCUGAAAGAGAUUAAAGAUUUAUACGGUGAUGGAUGGGGAUGCGUCUGAUUAGCUUGUUGGCGGGGUAACGGCCACCAAGGCUACGAUCGAGUAGGGGUUCUGAGAGGAAGGUCCCCCANAUUGGAACUGAGACACGGUCCAAACUCCGUACGGGAGGCA
RNAcentral lists this ribosomal RNA (355 nucleotides) under uncultured bacterium. RNAcentral's name for it is "bacterial SSU rRNA". It matches the Rfam family "Bacterial small subunit ribosomal RNA", at positions 8 to 350 of the family's 1533-position model. The record is from RNAcentral.